AUUGAACGCUGGCGGCAGGCCCAACACAUGCAAGUCGAACGGUAGCACAGAGAGCUUGCUCUCGGGUGACGAGUGGCGGACGGGUGAGUAAUGUCUGGGAAACUGCCCGAUGGAGGGGGAUAGCUACUGGAAACGGUAGCUAAUACCGCAUAACGUCGCAAGACCAAAGUGGGGGACCUUCGGGCCUCACACCAUCGGAUGUGCCCAGAUGGGAUUAGCUAGUAGGUGGGGUAAUGGCUCACCUAGGCGACGAUACCUAGCUGGUCUGAGCGGAUGACGAGCCACACUGGAACUGCGGCACGUGCCAGACUCCUACGGGAGGCAGCGGUGGGGAAUAUUGCACAAUGGGCGCAAGCCUGAUGCAGCCAGGCCGCGUGUAUGAAGAAGGCCUUCGGGUUGUAAAGCACUUUCAGCGGGGAGGAAGGCGGUGAAGUUAAUAGCUUCACCGAUUGACGUUACCCGCAGAAGAAGCACCGGCUAACUCCGUGCCAGCAGCCGCCGUAA
RNAcentral lists this ribosomal RNA (504 nucleotides) under uncultured bacterium. RNAcentral's name for it is "partial 16S ribosomal RNA". It matches the Rfam family "Bacterial small subunit ribosomal RNA", at positions 29 to 523 of the family's 1533-position model. The record is from RNAcentral.